RNAcentral lists this unclassified non-coding RNA (4051 nucleotides) under Hevea brasiliensis (rubber tree). The record is from RNAcentral. Lineage: Eukaryota; Viridiplantae; Streptophyta; Magnoliopsida; Malpighiales; Euphorbiaceae.
CUCUCUCUCUCUCUCUCUCUGUGUCACACACUCUCUCUCUUGUAUGUUUGCUUGUGUACACAUUCUAGGUUGAAGCAAUCCUCGGUGGCACUAGGUGGAUGAAUUUCAGAUGAGUUGUUAGAAUCCCAUGCAACUUCAUUGGCAGCUUAAACCUUGGUUUCUGCAUGUAGACUAGAUGUUCUGAAACUGUUCAGUUCACUGGGGAGACUUUACGUCCUUUUGAUUGUGUGCAUUACAAUCCAAUAUUUUGGUUUCUUGGAUGCAAGUAUAAAUCCUAGGUAUAAAUUGUGGAAUUUCAUUCUGACCAUGAGCAGUGGCAUACCAAGGAGAGAAGGGAAGGGCUGCUGCCUCCCCAUACUUUGUAUAAAAAAUUAUAAUUACUUUAUCUUUGCAUAUGUAUUUGUUGAUCACUCAAUCCAUAAUUUAUACCCUUAAGAUUCUACACUUUCUAAAUUUUCUUGUUUAUAUAGUUGAUUUUUUUACCAUACUCUUUAAUAUUUUCUACCUUAGCCUCCAAAAGAUUUUAUGUCUGUAUGUUUGGCAAAUUUAAAUUUCCUACCUAAAUCUCAUAAGAGUGAAAAUAAGGUAGAGGUGGACUGGCCAUAUUGAUUUUUGUAAACAUAACUAUCUAAAUAAAUAUUUAUCUAAAAGUUAAAAAUAUGAAAUAAUAAAUUGCCAAAAAUUAUUUGAGGCUUUUAAAUGAAAAUGACACUUUUUAUAACUUAUAAUUUAGUAAAAGUUCAACAAAUACAGCAUAAUAAAAUUUUUAACGAAAUGUAGUCAUUAUUUUUUUGAGCACUCACACCCUCCACCCCACCAAUGUCUUAAUCUUAGGUCCAUCACUGAUCAUGAGGAUGUCCUGCAUAUUGUUGUGGUGUUCUUUGCAAGUGAAAAUGUGAGAACUGAAUUUCCAUUUUCUUUUGUUGUUGAGGCUUUUCCAUUUUUUUAAAAAAAUCUUUUUUACAGUUUCCCAGUUUGUCCUUACAGCUACAUGCAAGAAGUAACUUAGAAAGGGCAUCUAUUGUGAUAAGAAAGAUAUUGUUGCAGAAUGAAUUCCUGUUUUCUCUUUAAUAUGCAAUCAAAUUUUUGAUGUUAUCAUAGCUUAACUGACAUCCAACAUUUUUGCAGCAUUGGGAAUUUUUUCUUUGCAGGAGCACGCAUAUUUUUCCAGUCUUUAGAUGCUGCAAUAUUUUUGUUUUCACGAGUUUCAGGUAUUCCACCAGAAAGUUUGGUUCUCCCUGUGAUCUCAACAAAUGACAGGCUUACAUUAGGAUGUGAAUUAUGGGUAUUACUGCAAGUUUACAUUUCAAUUUAUAUUGUGCAUGACAUGUUCAGCAUAUAUCAUACCUACAUGAACCAAUGUUUUUCCCAAAUUUAUCCUUGUGCUUAUAACCUGCUUUGGUAAAUUGUAGUUCAUUGAGAUGUUUUAUGCAACUGUAUAUAUAUAGUUCAGUAGUUGUAUAUCUUUCUUGGUUCACCAUUAACUCUUGUAAUUAUGCUGCCAAAUUUUGCAAGAAUAAUGCCAGAAUUCAAUUUUCUGACUUUUUCUUUAUAACUGCUGGUGAAUUUUACAUAUAGGAUGGGACGGUUAUACGUGGUCAGAAUGAAAUUUCUCAUCCAACCAAUGGUACUAUGCCACCUGUCAAUAAGGUAUCCCAGCGUUACUGUAAUGACAGUAAGCUCUGCCUAUAUUCUAUUAGCUUCCCUUUAGCAUUUUAUGUCUGUAUUUCUUGUGAAUAUUUAAAUAGGUAUUAUUCAAACUGUGGCUGCUAAUUAGUAAUGAUGAGGGUGGCUGGGGUUGCAAUUGAGGUGAUAAUGGGAGUUGUUUUAUGUGCAUGGUGACAUCAGUUGUUGUAUGGAAGUCAUGGUGGUGUUGCUGUGGUGAAGUUGCAAUAAAUUUCAUUUGAUACCUCCAUUUCUUGAGUCUAUUUUCCGGAACAUUCAUAAUGACAAUUGUGGUGUUGUACUGAAGAAAAUUUGGUAGUGAGAUACUGAUUUGAGUUUUUGCUCUUUGCUGAUAAAAAUAUUCAAUACAAAAAUGUACUUAAUUGACAAUUUACUAGCACAUUUAUAUUAGACAUUGUUUCUAACAUUCUAACAUAUCACAGUCCUUAAUCUUAUGGGAAGAAAGUUUUAUGGGUAGGGAUGUUCUUCAGUUCCAGCACUUCCUGCCAGAAUAAAGAGGGUGUUCUACAUGUCAAGUGAGGGUGGAAAUUCGCUGCAUGAGGUCUUUCCCACAGUUAACUCAUCUGUGUUGGACCAACUGAGUAAUGUGGAUUGCAUUGUUUAUGCAAUGGGGUCCCUCUUUACUUCCAUUUGUCCAUCAUUAUCGGUACUUUUGCUGAAUGGCACACAUGAUCGAGAGACCAGUGGCUUCUCUGCUUCAUGCUUUGUAACUACCAUUACAGAUGCUCUAAAUAGAAAAUAUGGAGAUACUCAUAAUUGUCUAGGAAACUCUGUAAGUGGAUUGAUAGAGUUACAGUUUAAGAUGCCUCAUGCUCAAUGGAGUUAUGAGAAUUGUCUGAAAAUACGUUCUUCUGUUGAAUACAGUUUCUAAAGCAUAAUGGAUCUUACAAAUUUGUGAUUUUGUUUUAGGGUAACAGGUGGCAUUUAUAAGUUUGAGGGUUAAUCACUGAAAAAGUCAAAAACUUUUUCUUGAUUUGCAUCUAUAGGCCCACGUAUCACUGUAUUUUGGAAAUAAUCAGUUAUAGCUUCUACUUUAAUCAUUUGUUUCAAUCAGGGUCAGCCCACUUAAAUAUAUUUUAUUACAUACAAAGUGAACGCAUAAAUAGAAAAUUAAGCACGUGAACUAAUAAAUUUUGUGCACUAGCAUCGACAGUUUUAUCUUGACAGGCUACACUUAGCUAUUUCGUUAGUUUGGACCAUUAUUGCAGAUUAAGAAAAAGUUUCCAAACACUAAAUAUUAGUAAAAAUUGAUUUUGAAGAAAUGAACAUUAUUCAUGAUGAAAGAUGGUUGUUCCUGUUUAUUUUUGUUAAAUGAUAUUCAACAAAAAUGAAACGAAAAUUAUGAGAAGAAAAAAGAACAAAAUGAAUCAAAAUUAACAUUAUUGGCUUAUUGCUAGAGUGUUUCUUAGUAAAACAUGCAAUUUGCUUCAUCUAUUUAAGUUUUUACCAGAUCCAAUUGCUUACAUGUUCAUUUUCUUUAGUAAAAUUGUUCUUCCAUGUUGUGUGUGUGUCCCCUAAAAUAAUAAGACAUGUUUAUGAUGUAAUCUGGUGAGGUUUAUAUUGUCAUUUUCUGAUUUUCUUGCCAGUAGAAGAAUAAUAGGAGUUUUUUAUUUUUUGUAGGUUUUUGCAUUUUGUGUAGAAACUCAUUCGUUUCAAUUUUUCUAAAUUAUCCUCCUUAAAAAAAAAGUAAAUAUUUUAUGUGCGGAAACAUCUUUGAUAACAAAUCACCAGCAAAGAUAAUGGAAGGAAACAUGAUAUUUAUUCCACUUGAUGUUUCUGUGCAGCCAAGUCAGUAUAUCGAUGCACUUUUAGUGCCCAAAGAAGGUGAAAUUCCCAUAGAUGUUCCAUGCUUGACUUCCCAAGGAAUCUUUGAUGUGAUCUUUGUUGACUCUUUUCGUGAUCCCAAAGUCGGUAUAAUAUUUAACCCAAAGUCAUUAAUAAACGCAAUUGCCAAUGUGGUAGGCUGACGCAUGAGCACAAAUGCCAUGCAUAGCUGACUAAAAUUUGACAGCAGAAAUGGAAUUUAGGAAGCUUAACCUUCGUGUGGCAAUGAAAUCAAUUGAGUGAGAUGUUUCUUUCGAGGUACAAGUUCAAGCAAAUCAGACAUGAGAUCUUGUCAGCAAAUCAUGAAGUCUUGUACUAGUUUAUUCUCCUAAUUGUAUGCGUAAUUUCUUGUUAAUCGAUAUCAAUGUUUGAAAGUAUCGAGCAAUUCACAGGUAGAUAUUUUGCACUUGUGAUUUCAAUUCAUAUGGUCUUUGAUUCCAUUCCAGGACAUAUGAGGGAUAUUCUAUAACAUCAAUGCAACUUUAAUUCAAGCAAGGCUUUUGUCCACGCGUUGUGCAGAUUCUUUGUCUUAUUACUAAAG